AGUGAACGCUGGCGGUAGGCCUAACACAUGCAAGUCGAACGGCAGCACAGAGGAGCUUGCUCCUUGGGUGGCGAGUGGCGGACGGGUGAGGAAUACAUCGGAAUCUACUCUGUCGUGGGGGAUAACGUAGGGAAACUUACGCUAAUACCGCAUACGACCUACGGGUGAAAGCAGGGGAUCUUCGGACCUUGCGCGAUUGAAUGAGCCGAUGUCGGAUUAGCUAGUUGGCGGGGUAAAGGCCCACCAAGGAGACGAUCCGUAGCUGGUCUGAGAGGAUGAUCAGCCACACUGGAACUGAGACACGGUCCAGACUCCUACGGGAGGCAGCAGUGGGGUAUAUUGGACAAUGGGCGCAAGCCUGAUCCAGCCAUACCGCGUGGGUGAAGAAGGCCUUCGGGUUGUAAAGCCCUUUUGUUGGGAAAGAAAUCCAUCUGGUUAAUACCCGGGUGGGAUGACGGUACCCAAAGAAUAAGCACCGGCUAACUUCGUGCCAGCAGCCGCCGUAA
Molecule: ribosomal RNA, 506 nt
Filed under: uncultured bacterium
Lineage: Bacteria
Description: partial 16S ribosomal RNA
Rfam family: Bacterial small subunit ribosomal RNA
Source: RNAcentral